ACUGAAGAGUUUGAUCAUGGCUCAGAUUGAACGCUGGCGGCAGGCCUAACACAUGCAAGUCGAGCGAGAAAGCACUUCGGUGUGAGUACAGCGGCGGACGGGUGAGUAACGCGUAGGAAUCUACCCAGUAGUGGGGGACAACAGUCGGAAACGGCUGCUAAUACCGCAUACGCCCUACGGGGGAAAGCGGGGGACCUUCGGGCCUCGCGCUAUUGGAUGAGCCUGCGUAAGAUUAGCUAGUUGGUGAGGUAAAGGCUCACCAACUAGCUAAUCUUACGCAGGCUCAUCCAAUAGCGCGAGGCCCGAAGGCCCCCCGCUUUCCCCCGUAGGGCG
RNAcentral lists this non-coding RNA (333 nucleotides) under Halioglobus sp. HI00S01. RNAcentral describes it as "Bacterial small subunit ribosomal RNA". It matches the Rfam family "Bacterial small subunit ribosomal RNA", at positions 1 to 302 of the family's 1533-position model. Lineage: Bacteria; Pseudomonadati; Pseudomonadota; Gammaproteobacteria; Cellvibrionales; Halieaceae. The record is from Rfam by way of RNAcentral.